Molecule: ribosomal RNA, 893 nt
Filed under: uncultured bacterium
Lineage: Bacteria
Description: bacterial SSU rRNA
Rfam family: Bacterial small subunit ribosomal RNA
Source: RNAcentral
AGAGUUUGAUCAUGGCUCAGGAUGAACGCUAGCGGUGUGCUUAAUGCAUGCAAGUCGAACGAGAUCUUUUGGAUUCGUCUGAAAGUGAGAGUGGCGGACGGGUGAGUAACGCGUUGGUGACCUGCCCCAGAGAGGGGGACAACCAUUGGAAACGAUGGCUAAUACCCCGGAUGUCAUUGUGUUUAGAAAUCAAUUACUGAAGCUCCGGCGCUCUGGGAGGGGCCUGCGUCCCAUCAGCUAGUUGGUAAGGUAAUGGCUUACCAAGGCAAAGACGGGUAGGGGGCGUGAGAGCGUGACCCCCCACACUGGUACUGAAACACGGACCAGAUACCUACGGGUAGCAGCAGCAAGGAAUAUUGCCCAAUGGACGAAAGUCUGAGGCAGCAACACCGCGUGGAGGACGAAGGCCUUCGGGUUGUAAACUCCUUUUCUGGGGGAAGAGAAUGGACGGUACCCCAGGAAUAAGGCCCGGCUAACUACGUGCCAGCAGCCGCGGUAAAACGUAGGGGUCGAGCGUUAUCCGGAUUUACUGGGCGUAAAGAGCAUGUAGGCGGUUGCUUUAGUCGGACGUGAAAGCUCCUGGCUUAACUAGGAGAGGCCGUUCGAAACUGAGCAACUCGAGGAUGGUAGAGGAGAGUGGAAUUCCCGGUGUAGUGGUGAAAUGCGUAGAUAUCGGGAGGAACACCAGUGGCGAAAGCGGCUCUCUGGGCCAUUCCUGACGCUGAGAUGCGAAAGCUAGGGGAGAGAACGGGAUUAGAAACCCCGGUAUUCCUAGCCGUAAACGAUGUCAACUAGGUGUAGGAGGUAUUGACCCCUUCUGUACUGCAGCAAACGCGUUAAGUUGACCGCCUGGGGACUACGGCCGCAAGGCUAAAACUCAAAGGAAUUGACGG